AGGCAGUGGAAACUGAUAGGCUAGAGUACGGUAGGGGUAGAGGGAAUUCCCAGUGUAGCGGUGAAAUGCGUAGAUAUUGGGAAGAACACCAGUGGCGAAGGCGCUCUACUGGGCCGUAACUGACGCUGAGGGACGAAAGCUAGGGGAGCGAAAGGGAUUAGAUACCCCUGUAGUCUUAGCUGUAAACGAUGGACACUAGGUGUUGGCCGUAUCGACCCGGUCAGUAUCGUAACUAACGCGUUAAGUGUCCCGCCUGGGGAGUACGCACGCUAGUGUGAAACUCAAAGGAAUUGACGGGGGCCCGCACAAGCGGUGGAGUAUGUGGUUUAAUUCGAUGCAACGCGAAGAACCUUACCAGGGUUUGACAUCCCGCGAACUUCUGUGAAAGCGGAAGGUGCCUUCGGGAGCGCGGAGACAGGUGGUGCAUGGCUGUCGUCAGCUCGUGUCGUGAGAUGUUGGGUUAAGUCCCGCAACGAGCGCAACCCUCGUUUUUAGUUGCCAUCAUUAAGUUGGGCACUCUAGAGAGACUGCCGGGGACAACUCGGAGGAAGGUGGGGAUGACGUCAAGUCAUCAUGCCCCUUACAUCCUGGGCUACACACGUACUACAAUGCUGCGGACAAAGGGCAGCGAGCUCGCGAGAGUAAGCUAAUCUCAUAAACCGUGGCUCAGUUCAGAUCGCAGGCUGCAACUCGCCUGCGUGAAGGAGGAAUCGCUAGUAAUCGCAGGUCAGCAUACUGCGGUGAAUACGUUCCCGGGCCUUGUACACACCGCCCGUCACACCAUGGAAGUUGGCCACGCCCGAAGCCGUUACUCCAACCUUUCGAGGAGGGGGACGUCCAAGGCAGGGCUGAUGACUGGGGUGAAGUCCUAACAAGGUAACCAU
RNAcentral lists this ribosomal RNA (884 nucleotides) under Halomicronema sp. A32DM. Its description in RNAcentral is "bacterial SSU rRNA". It matches the Rfam family "Bacterial small subunit ribosomal RNA", at positions 621 to 1503 of the family's 1533-position model. Lineage: Bacteria; Bacillati; Cyanobacteriota; Cyanophyceae; Nodosilineales; Nodosilineaceae. The record is from RNAcentral.